Molecule: long non-coding RNA, 226 nt
Filed under: Lathyrus oleraceus (garden pea)
Lineage: Eukaryota; Viridiplantae; Streptophyta; Magnoliopsida; Fabales; Fabaceae
Description: Pisum sativum (pea) long non-coding RNA (PSAT_LNC034691)
Source: RNAcentral
AGAGUAUCACACAUAUAAUAUAUACAAACAUACAAACAUCAAUAAUCAACAAAUAUAAUACACACAAAAAGUAGGCUAAACCCGCUGAGGACUACUCCCCAGCAGAGUUACCACUUUCUUUCUGUAGUGAUAAAUUCAUGAACACUAAGCUAUUGGUUAACUCAACGUCAAUAAAACAAGAGUCGCCACCGCGCUUUUAUUGUUUCCAAAGGAAAAUGGAAAAAGU